CAUCUCUCUCAUUGCACUUUAUUUCUUUCUUUCGUUCUUUCUUUGCCCUUUUUUCUUGAUUAUUUGUGUGUUAUUGGUCUGAUGGGUACUCAAAUCAUGUUAAAUGUUCUUGAUUUUCUUACAAAUGUUUAUCUUCUUGAUUUCUGUUUGUUUGCCAUGAAAAUUAAACCUUGUAUUGUUUGUCGAAUUCUUUGUUUAUUUAUGUUGAAUCACUUUUUGUGUUAAAUAAAAAUAAUUUCCUUUGUGUUCAUGUUAAACAGGGGAAGCCAUUUGAGGGGAAAACAAGCUAUUUGAGAAGAAGAAGAAGAAGGCCCUAAAAUGCAGCAGCAGAGAACACGUGUUGCAGAUCAGUGGUUGGUGAAUUCUACAGCAGUAGUGGUCUUCCCUCCUGCUUGAUCUCCCAUCCAUCACAGGUUUAUCAUAAUGUGGCAAAUUUACUAGAUGUAUAGCAUACAGAUAUUCUUGUGGGUAGCUUUUGUGGGUACAGAUAUAUUCUUGUGGUAUUUUUGGGGUGAUGGUGGGAGGUUGGUCUGUUGGGGAAGAAAUAUUUUGAGAUAGAAAUUUCCAACUGUUUGUGAGUAGCUGCGAGAGUAUGACUGGCUUUUUACCUGGUGGCAUUGGUUCCUUCUUUCUUGCCUUGCUAUCCAUCAACCAUGGCCUGUCAUUUUCUUCGAACUUUCAUUAAGACUCGCCACUUAGCAUUAUCUCCAAAUGUUUGGAUCUUGAAUGAAAAAUAGGCAUAGUGGCGAGAUAGGUAGCACAACUUGUCACUCCAUAGACCGGACAUGAUAUAUACCAAUUUUUCAUCUAGGAGAGAAAGGACCCACUGAAAUUAAGAAACUCUUGUGGAAAUUGCUCGAUAUUCCGCUUCGGUGGAAGAUUUCGCCACCAUAUGCUGUUUUCUCGAUUCCCAAGUAACCAAAUUUUUGCUGAAGAAUAUGCAAAAACCAGUGGUGGAUUUUCUGUCGUCUAUAGAACUCGCCCAAUCACUAUAUAAGCUGAAACAACUGAGCUGCUGCGGCCAAGAAAGAGGCUGUUAUUAGUGUUGUUUGCAAAAUAUCUUUGCCCGGUGAAGUAAGUCACGAAUAUACACUUCUUCUGUGUGAGCAAUAAACCUGUUGGUUUCCAGGUGGCCUCUACGCCAAGAAAAUAAUUCAACUGUCCGAAAUCUUUCAUAGCAAAUUCACAGCUCAAGGAUGAGUGGUACCAUUGACGUGGUGCUUGCUUGAGACCGUACAAUGAUUUGCUUAAUUUGCAAACAUAGGUUGGACAGUGAGGAUUGAUGAAACCCGUUGUUCCAUAAAGACCGAUUCAUCAAGAGAGGAAUUCCAGGAGAUUUUUCAAAUGGUGUUGAUUGCACUCUUGAAAAUUGUCGUGUGAACUGGUGCCACUCUGUUCAUCAAAAACAACAUGGUGUUUUUUUGUUGAUUGCACCCUUUUUGAAGUUUACAGUAACCUACAAAAUACACAAGAUUGUUUUCGAAGUGUAGGUGUAGGUGUAGGUAGUCGAUUGAUUAGGUAAUUUGCUGUUUCAAACGCCUAAAGUCCAAUAUUCAGUUGGCAUUAUGACAAUGCAACGGUGUUUGCUCUCGGCUUACCGUUUUGUUCAGGAGUUUUUAGGACAUGAAGUGCGUUGAGAAGUGAUAAGUAUGUUCGCCACCUAAAUCAGAUUGAAACAUUUUAAUAGACCGGUUAAAAAACUUCUCAACAAUUUUCCAAACGAAUUAAUUCCAAAGGAGCAGUAGCAACAUAUUAAUCGGCCACCACGACCACGUGAUGAAUUUCUAUUGCUGCUGUAGAAGGCCGUCUGAAUAGGUGCUGAAGCGGUGCUGCGGUAGUACUUUCAGCAGCUAUGCUACUUUCUUUGGACAAUAGAAGUCCACAAAGAUCGUAGAACCCAAACCAAUAGUACCAUUUGAUCUUGUCUGUACCAGUUAUGAUGAGCAAGAUUGAUUUGAUUGUCUGCCGUGAUUGGUGAGGUUCACCCGUGCCAUCAAUAUGGCCAGCGAGAUAGCUACGAAGAAGAGGUAGCAGUUGUGCUUGCCAUAGAAGGUAGUUUGUGUCUACAGACAAACAACCAUCAGCUUAAUCCAUCAUCAAAAAUAAUUUCUCUUUGUCAUUUCAGCUUGAGAAUUGUGUAGCUUAUUUGUUUCAUUAUCAAAUUAUACUAAGCUAAAAACUAUUCUCAAGCAGGAAACAUUUCCUACUCCAAAACCGUUAUUUUUUGUUUGAAAUGAUUUUUGAUGAUGGAUUAAAAAUAUUGUUGUGAACAACUAUGUUUAUGGAGGAUGAAAAGCAUCAACAACUA
This is an RNA transcript of Mercurialis annua (annual mercury), 2308 nucleotides long. RefSeq lists it as uncharacterized. The record is from RefSeq and is a predicted model, not a curated record. The transcript has 3 exons. NCBI's taxonomy places the organism in Eukaryota, Viridiplantae, Streptophyta, Magnoliopsida, Malpighiales, Euphorbiaceae.